This 409-nucleotide ribosomal RNA is filed under the name uncultured Armatimonadales bacterium. RNAcentral's name for it is "bacterial SSU rRNA". It matches the Rfam family "Bacterial small subunit ribosomal RNA", at positions 354 to 776 of the family's 1533-position model. Lineage: Bacteria; Bacillati; Armatimonadota; Armatimonadia; Armatimonadales. The record is from RNAcentral.
AUUAGGAAUCUUGCGCAAUGGGGGAAACCCUGACGCAGCGACGCCGCGUGAAGGAUGACAUCCUUCGGGAUGUAAACUUCUUUUAUUUGGGAAGAAGAAUGUGACGGUACCAAAUGAAUAAGCCCCGGCUAACUACGUGCCAGCAGCCGCGGUAAUACGUAGGGGGCGAGCGUUGUCCGAAUUUACUGGGCGUAAAGAGCAUUAAGGCGGUUUCUUAAGUGCGAGGUGAAAGGUUCAGGGCUCAACCCGAACACUGCCUUGCAUACUGGGAGACUUGAGUACGGGAGAGGCGAAUGGAAUUUCUGGUGUAGCGGUGAAAUGCGUAGAUAUCAGAAGGAACACCCAUGGCGAAGGCAGUUCGCUGGCCUGUAACUGACGCUGUAGUGCGAAAGCGUGGGGAGCAAACAGG